GACGAACGCUGGCGGCGUGCUUAACACAUGCAAGUCGAGCGGGGAUACGAGGGAGCUUGCUCCUGAGUAUUCUAGCGGCGGACGGGUGAGUAACGCGUGAGCAACCUUUCUCUCAGUGGGGAAUAACACAGGGAAACUUGUACUAAUACCGCAUGAGACCACAGAGUCGCAUGACUUAGGGGUCAAAGAUUUAUUGCUGAGAGGUGGGCUCGCGUCUGAUUAGGUAGUUGGUGAGGUAACGGCCCACCAAGCCGACGAUCAGUAGCCGACCUGAGAGGGUGAUCGGCCACAUUGGGACUGAGACACGGCCCAAACUCCUACGGGAGGCAGCAGUGGGGAAUAUUGGGCAAUGGGGGAAACCCUGACCCAGCAACGCCGCGUGGAGGAAGAAGGUUUUCGGAUCGUAAACUCCUGUCCUCAGGGAAGAGCAGAAGACGGUACCUGAGGAGGAAGCCCUGGCUAACUACGUG
Molecule: ribosomal RNA, 470 nt
Filed under: uncultured bacterium
Lineage: Bacteria
Description: bacterial SSU rRNA
Rfam family: Bacterial small subunit ribosomal RNA
Source: RNAcentral